This 276-nucleotide ribosomal RNA is filed under the name uncultured bacterium. RNAcentral's name for it is "partial 16S ribosomal RNA". It matches the Rfam family "Bacterial small subunit ribosomal RNA", at positions 79 to 354 of the family's 1533-position model. The record is from RNAcentral.
CUUUCUCCGCCGGCGACCGGCGCACGGGUGAGUAACACGUAUGCAACCUGCCCCUGUCAGGGGGACAACCCGCCGAAAGGCGGGCUAAACCCGCGUACAUGCCACCGGGGCAUCCCGGAGGCAGGAAAGGCUUCGGCCGGACAGGGAUGGGCAUGCGGCGCAUUAGGCAGUAGGCGGGGUAACGGCCCGCCUAACCGACGAUGCGUAGGGGUUCUGAGAGGAAGGUCCCCCACACUGGUACUGAGACACGGACCAGACUCCUACGGGAGGCAGCAG